ACGUAGGGGGCGAGCGUUAUCCGGAUUUACUGGGCGUAAAGCGCGCGCAGGCGGUUUGGUAGGUUGGACGUUAAAGCUCUUGGCUUAACUAAGAGAGGUCGUUCAAAACCACCAGACUUGAGGUCGGUAGAGGGGAGUGGAAUUCCCGGUGUAGUGGUGGAAUGCGCAGAUAUCGGGAGGAACACCUGUGGCGAAAGCGGCUCCCUGGACCGCACCUGACGCUCAUGCGCGAAAGCGUGGGGAGCGAACGG
RNAcentral lists this ribosomal RNA (251 nucleotides) under uncultured prokaryote. Its description in RNAcentral is "partial 16S rRNA". It matches the Rfam family "Bacterial small subunit ribosomal RNA", at positions 525 to 775 of the family's 1533-position model. The record is from RNAcentral.